AGGACCGGGAUGGACGAACCGCCUGUAUGCCAGUUAUUCCGCCAGGAGUAUCGCUGGGUAGCGGUGUUCGGAAGAGAUAAACGCUGAAAGCAUCUAAGCGUGAAACUCUCCUCAAGAUAAGGUUUCCCGGGUCGCAAGACCCCCGAAGGACGCAGGAAGACUACCUGCUUGAUAGGCUGCGAGUGUAAGGGCCGCGAGGUCUUAAGCGAAGCAGUACUAAUCGUCCGAGAGUCUUGGCCGUAU
This 243-nucleotide ribosomal RNA is filed under the name Elusimicrobia bacterium CG11_big_fil_rev_8_21_14_0_20_64_6. RNAcentral describes it as "partial 23S ribosomal RNA". It matches the Rfam family "Bacterial large subunit ribosomal RNA", at positions 2688 to 2925 of the family's 2925-position model. Lineage: Bacteria; Pseudomonadati; Elusimicrobiota. The record is from RNAcentral.